Molecule: ribosomal RNA, 486 nt
Filed under: uncultured Pelotomaculum sp.
Lineage: Bacteria; Bacillati; Bacillota; Clostridia; Eubacteriales; Desulfotomaculaceae
Description: bacterial SSU rRNA
Rfam family: Bacterial small subunit ribosomal RNA
Source: RNAcentral
CUACAAAUGAAUUGACGGGGCCCGCACAAGCGGUGGAGCAUGUGGUUUAAUUCGACGCAACGCGAAGAACCUUACCAGGGCUUGACAUCCCCUGACCGCGUAUGAAAGUACGUUUUCACCCUCGGGUGACAGGGAGACAGGUGGUGCAUGGUUGUCGUCAGCUCGUGUCGUGAGAUGUUGGGUUAAGUCCCGCAACGAGCGCAACCCCUACGUUUAGUUGCUAACAGGUGAAGCUGAGCACUCUAGACGAACUGCCGUUGACAAAACGGAGGAAGGUGGGGAUGACGUCAAAUCAUCAUGCCCCUUAUGUUCUGGGCUACACACGUGCUACAAUGGCCGGUACAGACGGAGGCGAAGCCGCGAGGCGGAGCAAAUCCGAAAAAGCCGGUCUCAGUUCGGAUUGCAGGCUGCAACCCGACUUCGUGAAGUUGGAUUCGCUAGUAAUCGCGCAUCAGCCAUGGCGCGGUGAAUACGUUCCCGGGCCUU